AGAGACUUAGGCUAAAUCAGACCAGCAGCCUUCAAAGCUGUUAGCGGAAGUUAAAAUCUUCCAGUCCCUG
RNAcentral lists this transfer RNA (70 nucleotides) under Evynnis tumifrons (yellowback seabream). Its description in RNAcentral is "Dentex tumifrons (yellowback seabream) tRNA-Trp". It matches the Rfam family "tRNA". Rfam says of the family: Transfer RNA (tRNA) molecules are approximately 80 nucleotides in length. The record is from RNAcentral. RNAcentral also lists the same sequence under 1 other name. Lineage: Eukaryota; Metazoa; Chordata; Actinopteri; Spariformes; Sparidae.